AAACAAGAAAGGGCUUAUAAUGCAAGUCGAGCGGACAGAUGGGAGCUUGCUCCCUGAUGUUAGCGGCGGACGGGUGAGUAACACGUGGGUAACCUGCCUGUAAGACUGGGAUAACUCCGGGAAACCGGGGCUAAUACCGGAUGGUUGUUUGAACCGCAUGGUUCAGACAUAAAAGGUGGCUUCGGCUACCACUUACAGAUGGACCCGCGGCGCAUUAGCUAGUUGGUGAGGUAACGGCUCACCAAGGCAACGAUGCGUAGCCGACCUGAGAGGGUGAUCGGCCACACUGGGACUGAGACACGGCCCAGACUCCUACGGGAGGCAGCAGUAGGGAAUCUUCCGCAAUGGACGAAAGUCUGACGGAGCAACGCCGCGUGAGUGAUGAAGGUUUUCGGAUCGUAAAGCUCUGUUGUUAGGGAAGAACAAGUGCCGUUCAAAUAGGGCGGCACCUUGACGGUACCUAACCAGAAAGCCACGGCUAACUACGUGCCAGCAGCCGCGGUAAUACGUAGGUGGCAAGCGUUGUCCGGAAUUAUUGGGCGUAAAGGGCUCGCAGGCGGUUUCUUAAGUCUGAUGUGAAAGCCCCCGGCUCAACCGGGGAGGGUCAUUGGAAACUGGGGAACUUGAGUGCAGAAGAGGAGAGUGGAAUUCCACGUGUAGCGGUGAAAUGCGUAGAGAUGUGGAGGAACACCAGUGGCGAAGGCGACUCUCUGGUCUGUAACUGACGCUGAGGAGCGAAAGCGUGGGGAGCGAACAGGAUUAGAUACCCUGGUAGUCCACGCCGUAAACGAUGAGUGCUAAGUGUUAGGGGGUUUCCGCCCCUUAGUGCUGCAGCUAACGCAUUAAGCACUCCGCCUGGGGAGUACGGUCGCAAGACUGAAACUCAAAGGAAUUGACGGGGGCCCGCACAAGCGGUGGAGCAUGUGGUUUAAUUCGAAGCAACGCGAAGAACCUUACCAGGUCUUGACAUCCUCUGACAAUCCUAGAGAUAGGACGUCCCCUUCGGGGGCAGAGUGACAGGUGGUGCAUGGUUGUCGUCAGCUCGUGUCGUGAGAUGUUGGGUUAAGUCCCGCAACGAGCGCAACCCUUGAUCUUAGUUGCCAGCAUUCAGUUGGGCACUCUAAGGUGACUGCCGGUGACAAACCGGAGGAAGGUGGGGAUGACGUCAAAUCAUCAUGCCCCUUAUGACCUGGGCUACCACGUGCUACAUGGACAGAACAAGGGCAGCGAAACCGCGAAGUUAAGCCAUCCCCAAAUCUGUUCCAGUUCGGAUCCAAUCUGCACUCAAUGCGUGAACUGGAAUCCUAUAAUCCGGAAAACCUGCCCGGGGAAAACUUUUCGGGCCUU
Molecule: ribosomal RNA, 1347 nt
Filed under: Bacillus velezensis
Lineage: Bacteria; Bacillati; Bacillota; Bacilli; Caryophanales; Bacillaceae
Description: bacterial SSU rRNA
Rfam family: Bacterial small subunit ribosomal RNA
Source: RNAcentral